Molecule: long non-coding RNA, 1547 nt
Organism: Cebus imitator (Panamanian white-faced capuchin)
Lineage: Eukaryota; Metazoa; Chordata; Mammalia; Primates; Cebidae
Exons: 3
Source: RefSeq, a predicted model, not a curated record
GGGUGGGUCUAAUUGGAAAAGUCUCCACAGAUUAUUUUGAUAUAACCAAUCCCUUCUCCUCUAGGAAUCUUGGCUUUGUCUUAUUCUUAAAACAAAUAUAUUAUGGCUUAUUCAAAUAAAGCUGCCACUAAGACAGUUGUUUGUGAAACUCCUCUUCUAGAACAGCCCACCCCAAAUAAUUACUUCAAGCUAUUAACGGCAAUUCCAUUUCUCUUGCCAGUGGCUGUCUCAGAAAUGGACAGCUGACCCAGCUCUGGCAAAUGAGGUGUCAGGGGUAUCAGCCGAGAAGCUCUGUGGAAGGUUCCUCCCUGCUCAGGAAGAGACAUGGGGGUAGCCUCUCUGUUCUCUGCUGGUGUCUCACCAGAGAGGAUGCUUGGACCACUGUGGGCAGCUUGUCUAUGGUCAGAAGACAAAGCCAACACGUGGAAAAGGGCCCCCAGGCAAAAUCUUGAGUCCUCCUUUAAAUAUUUUCUUAUAUAAAACAAUAUAUUUCUUUAUUGGGUAAGCCAUUUUGAAUUUGGGUCCUAUCACUUACAGCCAAAAGCAUUCUAAUGAUUCCAGCUUGAAAACUUUUAGGAAUGAAAUAUUAACACAGGGAUUUGAAUGUGCAACUGCUUUACCUGGAUUAAGCAAUUCCAAAAGUGUUUUUCAACCUCUCAAACUUAACACACACUAUAGAGUUCCAAAGCCAAAUGAAGAAAGCAGCCAAGGUAGGGAGCAUCAGGUGCUUGCAGAGUGGAAUAUUCAUGCUCUCAGUCAUACGUUCGAAAAUGUUUGAAUAACACUGCCUGUCAAAUGUGUGGUUUCUUUUAGGUUGUUCUAAUUUCAACAGAAAGACAAAGAAGAGCAAAAGCUCCAGACAUCAACACUGAGUUCGCCUUCAGAAGACUUCUAAAUACUGAGUAUCUGUGGCUGAAAUUUAAGAGUUGGAGCUGUUAAGAACCAAAGAAAAAAGACAAAAUGACAGAAGACAGACAAGUCAUUUCUAUAAACAGAAAUUGAAAGUUAGUGCCAAGGAAGAAGCUACAUUUGUAAAACGGACGAAUUCAUUUCACAUCCUAUGUUGCUUCCAGAAGUUUUUCUCUGCUAUUUUUAAACUGUGAUUUGAUGUUUGUAAGGAAGGAACCUCAUCUCUGGUGGAUUUAGAAGAUAAGCUUCUAUUAGAUUACUGAGGACUGUACUUAAUCCUAAGAAUGCCAGAGUAAAUGCUUCUGCCACCUAUAAAAGCUAGUCUUUAUAUAAUUUAGUGGCAAGAAUGAUUUCACAUGCUGGGAUAUAAAGAGUUAGUUACUGUCUCAUACCCUCCUCGUCCCCAAAUUCUUGAUCUGAAUGUCGAAUUUUCACUAAUGUGGAAGCCAGAAAAAAAAAACCAAAAAAAAAAAAAAACAACCAAUCUUUGAAGCACAAUAAUACUGUGAAAACGUAUUUGCCACCAAAAUUAUUUCAUAUAAAUUUCCUGUAUUACAUCUCCCUUGCUCCACGAUUUUUCCCCUAAGUUUUUUUUCUGAACAUGGUGAAAUAAACUGGUGGACAGUUUUUUUUUUUUU